RNAcentral lists this long non-coding RNA (29697 nucleotides) under Linum usitatissimum (flax). RNAcentral's name for it is "long non-coding RNA (LUSI_LNC006329)". Lineage: Eukaryota; Viridiplantae; Streptophyta; Magnoliopsida; Malpighiales; Linaceae. The record is from RNAcentral.
CGUGGAUGGAUCUACUGCUAUGCUAUGAGAAGAGGCAACACUUGAGAGAAGUAAAAACUCGGUAAUUGGCAGAAUUGGAAAUGAGAUGUGUGCUGUUGUGAGAGGUGAUGGUAUGAUGAUCAUCAGUGGAAGUGAGGGUGGAAUGAAUGAAGAAAGAAGGUGGAGCGGAAUCCAUGGCAUGUAGCCUUUGAGAGAGCUUUAUUAAAUCCUGGAUGGGCGGGGGGGGGGUUGGUUGCUUGCUUAGUAGGGUAGAAAAAGGUCCUCUGUUUGAGAAGUCUGUCUGUAAGCCGAGCCAACAUGGUAAUGUCAUUGUUGAGGUUGAAGCUUCUUCUUGUACGGUGUAUUCCGGAGUUUGAUGUUAUGUUUGAGGGAGAUUAUGCAUGAUAAGUAGUAGGGUAUUUUGCAUUUUGAAUUGGAUUUAGGGAAGUCGUUGUGGGAGGUACGGGAGAGUGUAGUGCUUGAAUAAAGAUAGAUGUCAGGGAGAUGAGAUGAGAUGCUUCUUCUCUCUUCUGGUCUCUGCAGUGUCAUUGACUUGUUGGGUCUACUUUUCCUUUCUUAUAUAUAUAUAUAUAUUUGGUAUUUUUAUUUACUGGUUUAUAUUUUUAUAUAAUUCGCUCGCUGGUUCUUUCCGAUUCCCCCUGACUGCUGUUUUGGGUGGGGGGUUAUCCGGUUGGUUGCUUUGUGUGAAGGCUGACACUGGCAAGCAUUUGAUUUGUUACAAGUAACACAAAGUUGGGGGUACUGGUUGGUUCAUUUUGAAAGUGAAUAAAAAAGCUAGCUAUCACCUUAUAGAACCUGCAGGAGAGCUUGAGACAUGAUACUUUCCAAUCCAUUUGAUCUCGUCCUAAUGGAUGAAUUGCCUGAUUCAAUUAUUUGCUUGAUGACCGAGUUUUUAUAGAUAAAGAGUUAAUUGAGGAGUUCAGGUUUGUGCUCCGAAGGGCCUCCUUGUCUAAAAAUAAAAUUUUAAAAAAAAACAUCAGAUUAAAGAGUCAUCAAUCAAUCUUGUUUUGUGCUGGACUAGUAACGGAUUAAUGGUAGACGGUGUGCGAAAUUUUCAGGCUUUCUUGAGCCAAGCCUCCAGUGACCUGUAAUGUUGUUACAAACAAAUGGCUGUGGCUGCCUGGCAAUGAGAUCGGCCACAGACGAUCCUCUGUUGCCGUGUUAAACGUAAGAAUCCAUCAUGAUUUCUAACUCACUUCUAAUGGACAUUUUCCAAACUCCGUAAAACAUAAGGAUUUCAAGGCCAAAUGCACAAUAUUAUGGCUUCUCAUAAAGCUAGUGCUCCAAUAAUGAAUGGAUAAAAAAUUCCUUCAAAACUUUUGCCCCUCUGAAUAAAAUACCCCCUUGAUGAUUUUGAAUAUCAAAAUCUAUAGUUCCCCCCGAUGGAGUUUUUAGUUGGUCCAUCCACCGAAGCGCUUAAACGAUUCGUAGAUAUUUGAACCGUUGGAGGCAAUCGAAUGGGAUCUCGUGAAAUUACAGGUUGUGCUACUAAUCUUCUAAUGCAAGUUAUUUAAUGGAGUAUGUCUAGAUAAUGCAACGAAACUGUUUAGACAUUACCACCAACCCAUCGUGACAAAGAAAGGAUAUAAAGGGUUAUUUAGCAAUGGGUCGGAUACAAGGCAAAUACCUCCUUAUCCGUUGCCCGGUAAUUAUGCCAGCUGGUUUUAUCCUUCCCCGACCCAUCAAACUUGAUGGGUAUAAAUUUUGUACCAAACUUAUUUUGUGACGGGUUCGGAUAAACCCGUGAAAGUUGGUUAAACCCAACAAGAAUAAAAACAUAGAUUUGAAUCAUUAUCCAACAAAUCUAAAUCCAAAAAUAAGAACAUGAAUAAGAACAAUCCAAAAAUAGGAACCAUUAUUUAGGAAAUCUAAAUCCAACACUAAGAUCAACUUAAAAAUCUAGAAAAUCGACCCAAAAAUAGGAAAAAUGAACUCAUAUACACAUAAUUCAGAUACAUGAAAUGAAAAUAAGAAAAAACGUUCACAAAAAUCCCAAAAACAUGUAUCUUAGAAAGACAGAAACCAUAAAAAUUCGAACGGUAAAUUGUGGUAGACUGGUAGUUCAGAAAUUUAAACAAAGUACUAAUGAAAUGUAAAAUUUUGCGUUCCAAUCUUUCGUCAAAUCAUCAGAUUCAUUCAUCACUCCAAACUUAAUUGAAAGACCAUAUCUGCAAAAUAAUUAUGGUUCCUUAUAAGUUCGACUUUGACCUAUAUACGCUAUAAGAUAACCAUUAAAAAUACUGAGUUACAAGACAAACCUCAAACUAAUCGUCAAGGUUUGUAUGGAGGGAUUAAGGAAGGCAAGAAUCGACAACUUAUCUCGAUCAAGGAAGAAAUCCUCUGCAUGCAUGAUUCCAAGUUGAUUUGUGUGGAUUGAGGCAUUAUCGGUGAUUAGAGGAUUAAUUACGGGUAAGUUAUGAGAUUAUUGACGAUGGAUUUGAAGAUUUCCGAGAGGAAAUUGCUAGAAUCGAGGAGAAAUUGUAGGAAUGGAAUGGUCUCUGUUGCUGGAUCGAGAGGUUUUAGUGAAUUUGGGAGAAAAAAUCGAGGUGGAAUUCUUAAGGACUGAAAGUGGUGGCCGGCAGAAACCCUAAUCCUACCCGGAUCACACUUGUGGGCCGUGGACAGCUAGGCUGUCUUUCCGGGCGGGCCCCAGUGGGUAUCUGAAACCCGUGGACUCAUUGCCAAGCCUACCGGUUAUUGUGUCUAUUGACGAGCGGACCUAGCUAGAAGCAUGUUAAGGAAUAUCAUGCAUUAAAGCUUUCUAUUUUUGAAGCAACCGUUAAAAUAUAUAAGCUAAAUCUCUAAACGACGCCUUAGAAUCGAAUUGAACGACGCCCUAGACUAUACAAAGACUGAAUCAUCCUUAUCGUAAAUAUAUGGAGAACAUACUAAUUUCAUUCAAUUGGACUAUUUUAAGUAUGUUUUAGUUGAUCGACUUGUCUGACAAAACUCGGCCGAUCCAAUCUAGGAAAAAAUUUGAAAAUUUUCGAAGAACCAAUCGACCGAUUGACUGGAUGGACAAACCGAAUGGAGGGGAUUUCCGUCCGGCGAGACUAACCGGACCAACGGGAUUUUCGUCUGGCCCAGCCCGCCGGACGGACACACCAUUCGUUCGGUGAACAUACCGGACGGACGGUGUGUCCGUCCAACAAGUUGGGCCAGACGGAAAUCCCGUCAGUCUGGUUAGUCUUGCCGAAAUUUAGCCUCGACACAAGAAAGUUGUAGCCAAUCGAACAAGCUUUCCAAUUUCGCCAGUCUUGCAUCAAUCGGACGUUCGAGCGAUGAGUUAUGUAAAAAAACACUAAACUGCGACGUUUUCCGACCAACUCGACGAGUUGGGCCAUGCGGAAAUCCGAUCCUCCUGGCAUGAUAUCGCCAAAAUUUGGCCUCGACAUGAACAUGAAAAAUGUAGACAAUAGGACUAGAGUUUCAACACCGUCGGUUUUGCAUCAAUCGGACUUGAAGGCGAUGAGUUAUGUAAACAAUACUAAACUGAGACGUUUUCUGAUCAAGUCAACCGUUCUAAAUUGUUCCAACCUCUAUGGCCCUAUCCUGGUAUUUAGUACAAAUAUGAGAUUAAAUAGUUAUGUAACACAAUUGCGUACUUCAAGCGUUCGUUAACAACAAGUAUGAGAUCACUAAGUAGAACAAUGUCAUCUACGAACGCGGUUGGACUAACUUAACAUACUUUACAUGUCACCUCGAUAUAGAGUACCCUUCUAAGCCUCUUUGGCCCUAUCAUCGAUCCUGUACCUCUACAUCAUGUUCGUCAUCAUAAUUGGUAUCACCCCAUUUGUGGACAUAAACCCUAAACCUUAAACGCUAAACACUAAAUGCUAAAACCUAAAUACUAAAUCCUAAAUCCUAAACUCUAAACCCUAAACUCUAAACCCUAAUCGUUGAUAACGUCAAACACAUUGUUGAGCAGCCCAUGUAGUAUGGCGGGAGUAUAGGGGAAAGAUGAUUGCACUAAAACUAAAGAGGUGCGAGAAAUUAUGGUAUGGUCUCAACUCAUCUUCAUGCUCUUCCGUAGAGUCGAGUCUAUAUGUACAUGAGAUUCCAUGUGUAUCAUCAAUCACACAAUUGCAUCAUGUAACCUUGGAGAGCUCCUCAUUCAACAACUCAAUCGCCCAUAAGCUGUCAUGCUUAUUUAGAUACUUAAGCGGUUGUGCAUAUUUGGUUCCCCCUUAAUCCCUUGGGCCGUUUUAUGUUUUUUUUCAUGUUUUAUGUGCAUUUCUGGUGUCAUACGACGUCUUGAGAUGAACUAAACUAUAACAGGAAGGCUGGAACAACUCAGAACGAUCGACUUGGUCGAUAAACGUCACAAUUUAGUAUUUUUGAAAGAACUCAUCACUCAGACGUGUGAUUGAUGCAAGACUGACGGUGUUAAUCAAGGCGGUCAUCCAAGCGCUGUCUACUUAUCAUAUGAAUAUCUUUAUGUUAUCGGAUCAAUUCACCAAGGAGUUAAAAAAAAUUAUAAAUGCCUUCUGGUGGGACUCCAAGCGUUGCAACAGAAAGGAGAUUCCAUGGAUGAAAUGGGAGAGGUUGGUGAUAAGGAAGGAGCACAGAGGCAUGGGAUUCUGAGAACUUAGAGGCUUUAACUUGGAUCUCCUUGGAAAGCAGACAUGGCGGUCUUAACUCGACCGGAUACUCUCGUCGCCUGUCUCUACAAGGAAAAAUACUUUCCGAACGGUUCAAUUUUGGGGGCGGACUUGGGCCCUCACCCGAGCUUCGCCUGGAGAAGCCUAUGAAAUUCAAUUACAUUGAUACUGAAGGGAGAAUGAUGGCGCAUUGGUGAUGGUAAUGCAGUUAGGGCUUGGAUGGAUCCGUGGUAACCGGACGGUAAUAACCGGCAUGUCGAAAAUGCCCCAAUCUGAAGCUUGCACUGUUGGGAUACUUCGAAGUUUAAUCAAUUGUUUGAUGAGAGAGAUAUAAAUUUAAUCUUGUCCAUACCGGUGUUCGCAGCGUCGGGAACUGACAAACGUUUAUGGCACACCAAUAAAGACGGCUAGUAUACGGUUCGAUCUGCAUACUGUCUAUACAUGGAACAGAUCAUCGAUCGAACUUGACACCGGAGAGAAGGCAACUGGAAUGCACUGUGGGAUAUUGAGGCCCCUACCAAAAUGGUUCACUGUAUUUGGUGGUUAGCUUGAGACGUACUCCCGACUAGAGGCCGCUUAAGGUGUCGAGAUGUGCAGGUGCCAGGCUCAUGUGGAUUAUGUGACCAACAGUAUGAAGAAAAUUGGCAUUUAUUUAUCAAAUGUCCUUGGUCAAGAGAUUUGUGGAGAGUUGCAUGCCUCCUGGCGAUUACAGAGAGGGAAGCGGUUAAGGUGAAUGAAGUCGAUGAGUGGAUGUGGGGAAUGAUCGAAGCUUUGGAUGGUAAAUCGAGAAGUAAAUGGUGUGCAUGCUUAUGGGCGAUCUGGCGAGAAAGAAAUAACUGGGUCUGGACGAGAAAUCAUUGAACGACAGAUGUGACUUUUCAUUUAUGCACACAUGAAUUAGAGGAUUGGAAACAUUGGAUUUCAUCAUCCUCUCCGUCAACAUCUCGUAGGUGUCUCCGUAUUGUGAUGAUUGGUACCCUCCACCGGAAGGUUUUGUCAAGUAUAAUGUAGACAUCUCUCUUCGCCAUAUCCAUCUCCAAACAGGUUUCAGCAUGUGCAUCCGAGAUCAUGAAGGCAGGUUGCUUAACUUUUGCACUUUUGCAUAUCUAAGUUUGUUGGACGUGAAGAUCGGCGAUGCAGUGGUACUGGUGGAAGCUAUGCGCUGGGUAAUCUCGCUGGGAUACACCAAAUUUCAAUUCGAAAGAGACUCUCAUGUAGUUUACACGACAUUGCAGGAGACGACGAUUGACAAAACAGAGUUUGGGAUGGCUAUUUCUACUGGCGGGAGUUUGAUGAAUUUUAACAAAUACUUUUCCUGUCAUUGUGUUAGGAAAGUGAAAAAUGAGGUUGCCCAUUGGUUUGUAGAGAAAUUGUUUUUCCCUAUAACUUUGCCAUAAGGACCUAACCCUUUGAAUUGGCUCAAAGAUUUAUUUGGCAAUUGUUACCGUUUGAUUGAGCACUGAGUUAUAAAUUAUUACAUUAUAUCGGAAAAAAAAUUGAUAAUUAACGUAAAAAUAUAAUAUUUGCAUAUGAAUAAUAAGACAAACGAUUUUAUUUCAUGGUAAUUUAAUAAACUUUUCUCCCAAUCGCUAAUAUUUUAUUCAUUCCCUAACUAACUAACUAAUUAACCAAUGAAAUAUUUGCAUAGGUGGUUUGCGUCAGUGCCGGCGUCGACGCAGCCGAACCGGCUGUACGUGCACUCGGGGACCUCAAACGGGGCCACGAGCAACAUUCCGGCGCUACUGGUGAAGGGAUACCCGCAGAGGACCAUAUUCGAGAACAUAGACGACGCCGGGCUGAAGUGGGGAAUCUACUAUCAGAAUAUUCCGGCGACUCUGUUCUACCGGAACUUGAGGAAGAUCAAGUACGUGACGAAUUUCCGGCCGUACGACUUGAUGUUCAAGAGCCACGCCAAGCAAGGGAAAAAUGGGGCGACGAGCAACAUUCCGGCGUUACUGGUGAAGGGAUACCCGCAGAGGACCAUAUUCGAGAACAUAGACGACGCCGGGCUGAACUGGGGAAUCUACUAUCAGAAUAUUCCGGCGAUCCUGUUCUACCGGAACUUGAGGAAGAUCAAGUACGUGACGAAUUUCCGGCCAUACGACUUGAUGUUCAAGAGCCACGCCAAGCAAGGGAAGCUCCCUAAUUACGUGGUGGUGGAGCAGCGCUACACCGACAUGAAAAUCGCUCCGGCCAACGACGACUAUCCUUCCCACGACGUCUACCAUGGCCAGAUGUUCGUCAAAGAGGUACCGACUUCUGCUUAUACAGCGUGUAUUAAUUAUUUCAGAUUCAAUCUAGUUUUUGGAAAAAAUAUUAAAGGAGUUGACUUUAUUAAUUACGGGAAACAAUGAUAUGUUCUUAUGAAACGAAUAUGCUUGUUGAUCUGUUUAAUGCUGUUUCAAAAAAUCAUGUAUGGGAAUUUUUUAUUUAAUGGGUGAGAAACAAAAAGCUUAACAUAAUAACUUUCUGCGAGUAAUGUUCCUUAAAUCAUUUUGCUCCAUCUACUUGGAUCAUGUUUGGUUUGAUGUUUUGAGAUUCGGUAAUUUUUAUUGAAAUGACUGUAUUAGAAACAACAUAUUUAUAUUCUUUAAGAGUUUUCAAAUUUACAUUUUCAUGGAACUUAUAUUUUAUGUUUGUAUUUUAUCCAAAAUCAUUUUUUUUGUGAAAUUAAGGUGUACGAGACGUUAAAGGCAAGCCCGUAAUGGAACUAGACGAUGUUAAUAAUAACAUAUGACGAGCAUGGUAAAUUCUACGACCAUGUAUCCACAUCGGUUGAAGCCCUGACGGGAUAGUUGGUCCCGACCCAUUCAGCUUUACUUUUAAUCGAUUUAGAGUGAGAGUCCCUAUCAUUGUAAUCUUCCCUUGAAUCAAUAAGGCCACCGAUAAGUUAAGUUUCCUUCAACUUAUUCCAUCUCUGGUUUAGUUAGUCGCUGAAUUUGAAGUUUGGACGACAAGUAAAAGAAGAAUGAAGGAUUCAAGCUAAGUUAGUAUUGGUGUGAAAAUGAUCCAUACAGAUAAGUGAUAACUUUUUCAAUAAGCACCACAUGUUAUUUGCUCAACUUUGUCAAGGGGACAAAUGUGAAAACUCUUGUGUGAAUUUGAGGUCUUAUUUCUUUCUCUGAAAGUAAGUGGGGCUAGGGGGUGGUAGCUUAAUGAUAAACUAUAUGAAAAUUCUGUAACAGCAUCGAUGAAAUUAGGCACCUCUUUGUUUUUGGUUAAUAAGAUGGUAACCUUUUAUGUUUAACUGAAAUUUAACUACUUGGUAUAAUAUUCUAGUUGUGCAUGGGCCCGAGGGUCAACCAACCCUCAAUUCCGGCCACCGUCAAGGAGAUUUUCAACCUCCCAUCUUUCCUUACUCAAAGAGACCGAUGGGCUGGAACCUUUGAAUCCAUUCUCCAAUCUAGAACUCAACCCAGAACUGAUUGCCCAGGUAAAUUAAAUUAACCUUUUCUCCCUAAAUCAUCAUAUACUAUUCUACACUACCCUCGUAUUCUUCCAUAAGAAAGAAACAAUUUACUAUGUGUUGAUCACUGGACAGAGCAACUGCCAACUCCAAUGAAGAUCAGGCAAGGUGAGGCUAACGAAGAAGCAAACCUCAAGCAAAUUCCAACAGGAAAUGCUGCAGCUAGCAGCUGUUCUGAAGAGAGACAACCUUCUUUCCAGUUACCCCAAUCAGAUUGGGAAAAAAAUGACUGUGAAGCAAGGCACUGUUUACAUGGAAGAUGCUGUUCAAGGCUUCUUUCAGGCCGGUGUUUUCGCUAAGAAGAUAGGCGUCGAUGACAAACAGAUUGUACAGAUGAAGCCUUCCUUAACUACAAGACCAGCUCCCAUCACCAACAAUUACCCUUGAUGGAAAAGCAAAUAGCAUCACAACACGGCAUUUGAUAUGUAUAUGUGUAUUAUUUAUUCAUCACUAGCAGCAGAAACUUCUGAUGAAAAUCAUAAAAAACCACUACAUUACAAAUUUACUCAUGAAAAUAGAAAAGAAUGGGUUAUUUUGAUUGUGUACGUACACGUUCCUUCUCUAAAUCCAUAAACAGACUUGCAGAGCAUUGGAACAAUAUUGUACCUCUGCAAUUCUAUCUACCAGAUUCGAGUUCCUGCAUCGUUAGUUCCUAUGGUAAGAGAGGUAUGUUGCUGCACAACCGAAUAAAUCCUGCUUCGGGUAAAAACAGAAUCAUUACUGAUGUCAAAUGGAUCCGCUCAACAGUGAAACCAAGAUGGUCGGAGCCCCUGAAUGUAAUUUUAAUUUCGAGGUGAGUUUGAAAGCAAACCAAGCGAAAUUCAAAAAAAUUCAAAUUAAAAAAAUUUAUAUUAGGCACGCCCAUUCCUGAUUGUGCACUGGAUCUGCUAAAAAAAAGGGUUUCAGGAAACAUGAAUAAAGGGAUGAUCAUUUAUUUGCAAGAUGUCUGCAGCAGCAAAUGCAAACAAAGUUACUGAAACCCUACCAUGGAUUGGCUGGCAUCUUCACAAAAUGACAUUAAUAUCUCAAUCUACAUGUCCAAACAAAGAAUUCUGGGGGUCCUCUACAAUUAGUUCACUGAUUGAUAUACCAAAACAUUCUAUCCAUAGCUUGUAAACAUUCUCUUAUCUAUCUUUUCAUCUAUCUGUACCACCUUUUUGUCACUGUGUGUACAAUGUCAUCAAUAUCUUGUCUUUGGUGGACGCUGACGCAAUCUUUUCACCAUGUGAUCCAUCAAAUCAAAUACACUUCACCUCUCCCAACCUGCUAUAUUCGCCGUUGCUUCGUUUACCAUUUUUACCAAUCUCACCUGCAGAAAAUUUCACUAUGAAAAUGUCCAUUUAUUGACAGGAGGCGUUUGUGUAAAACAGCUGAUUGCAGAAGAAGCAUUAUUGGGCAUACCACACUUUCUGGAACUCCUGGUGGAGGCAAUGAGAGAUUCCUUGGUGGAGGACCACUAAGAUAGGAUCUUUUGUCGAAACGCCAUUCCCCAAUCUUCCCAUAAGUUAAUUCUCCCUGACCCAUUUCAAAAACUCAUUCGUUUACAGUAAAGCUAAAAGUCACAGUGAAGAUUCGAACAACAAAAACGAUGCAAGAUGUGAAUUCACGAUGUACCUUUAAGUUGUAGUCGCAACCAUAAGUAUAAUGAAUAAUAAAGGUCUUCCCAACUUCCAAAUCCCAUGGUGGCUGAAACAUAAUAAAUAGUUAUAUGUAAGUAACCAACCAUUGAGAACAAUAACCGAGUAAAAACAGCUGUUUUUAUUAUAUAAAGGAGAUACCUGUAUCAUGAAGUCUUUUUGAAGUAUAUGAUGAACACCAUGUAAAGCUGACGCUACAGCAUAAGCAUACCUGAGUUCCACAGAAAGACGUCAGCAAAACUUGCAAGACAGUUCAGGAAAUUGAGAUUGAUCAGCAAGGAUGGAUGUUCUUCAAUUUCACUCACAUUUCUAGCACCCAACCAAAUGCUUUAUCCGUCUCUGGAUCAUCUUUCAUCCUCAAUGAUACAUUGACCCAAGUUGGUGAAAUUUCCUCCAGGAUGGUCUGAAUAAUGAUGGUUUAAGUCAGCUGAUUGAAUGAGAUGAUAUAAUAAAAGAUGUUCACAUACAUUUAUUUACAUUGUGCAGCAGGUUCACAUUGCUAAUUGCAGACUCAUACCAAAUUGGACAUUGCUAACUGAAUAACAGACAACAAUACCAACAAAACAUUACCUUCUUAAUGAUCACAGGAGAAUUUCCAAUAGGAUCCACAUCCGUUACUGGACCCUUCUCCUUGGGAUAAAACUUUCUGACUACGUUCUCAUGUUCUGCUGGUUUAAUGUAGAAGAAGGGAAAUGCUGCUGGAUUGCCUCCGUGUGACAGGUUAGGCAAAGGAUUAACAAAUAGGUGAUCUGGCUCAGCCAUUAGGAUGUAACUGCGUAUAACCUUGGUAAGAUUCAGAAAACAUUGAGACAAAGCAAACAAGUAUCAGAGCAACUUUAUAAACUCACUCUUCCUCAAUGGUUGCCUUUUCCAGCCACUGAACGAAGGCCCACGGUCUGUUUAAGACGAUAUACCCCUGCAUUGAUCAAGAAGAUGGUAGUUAUGUCAGAUAUUGGUGAGCAACCAUUUUUUAGUGUCCCAUUUCUAUUGAACAAUUGUGAUCUGAUCAUCUGAAUAACAUUUUAACAUUCACACUACUGAAAUGAUGAACACUCUACUCCAAUGAAAUGCAAUACCACAUCAAUUUGGACAGUAAUUUCUCUUACAUACAAGUUUGAGCAUGAUUGCUUUUGUCCUGUCUAAGAUGAUAAUGUAAACCGUUUAGGGAGUCUACGAGAAUAACCUAGAUAUAAAAACCCUCAAACUACGCAAAAGUGCAACUAUAUCUAGCUGCAUUUCCCAAAACAAUAUUCCUAACACCUUAAACCCUGACGGAAGAGCUAACAAAUAGCAAAAAGGUAAAGAAAUUCAAUAGACUAACACUCUUCACUAUGAGCACAGGCCAUUAUCUGCUGGAUAUAAGCAUCGAUUCUACUUGUGCACGACGGAUUCAAAUAUGGACAGUAACUUGAAAACCUACUUUCAAUUUAUUUGUAUUGAGAUCGAUUCGAGAUAUACAGUAAGCUUAUAUACAUCUACAAGGGACAAAGUGAUCUCAAGUUAUUCCUUACAAUAGAAAUUCACCGCAUAAACUGAACAGAGGACCAUCAAGAAAGUAAUCAUAGAAACAUACCCGAUCCAAACCCUCUGGCAGAGGAUCAACAAUGAAAGUAGGGAUUUCGUCCAUAAGAUUAUCGGCCUUCCCGGAAUGCAAAACUCGCGUGAACUUUCCCAUGUCUGAUCCGGGGGCAUCUUUCAUCCUCCUAUACCAGUAGUACAUAAUCCGGCAUUGCCAUUGACUAUAAGGAGCAUCAGUUGCGGUAAGCGCCACAUGAUACUUCAAAUUCGGGUUCCCUAAUUUCCUCACCCUCUGAGGCAUCGUAGCAAUGGGAUCAGAAAAACCACCUGAUCCAUCUCCUGAGUUGGUGGCCUUGUAGUUGAUUAUCAACGUUAAUAAGUUAUAGGUUGCAAAGGCAAACCCAAAUGCCAGAAGCACCAGUAGCAAAGGUGACACCCUCCCCAUUUUUUUCCUCUCAAUCAUAUCCGUCCUCUGGAUUCGAAAUGUAAAUCCCGAAUCAAAAGAAUCUCAUUGGAAACAAUUAAAAAUUAAGAAUUAACACAUCGAUUGACACUGAAGAAUCCCCAAUUUAGCAAACCUCGCGAGCCAAACCCGCACAAGAAUCCCAAUUUUACACCAAAUCACAGUUUGUAAUACAAAUUGGUGUAAACCAACAUCACCGUAUGCCCCUUUCUUGCUGGGUCAACGAGGAAAUCAAACGCCUACUAACUGCAGCAAGAAAAAAAUAGAAAAAAGGAUUAAAUGGGGUCUCAAUAACUAGAGAGAAAGCAAUCAUCUUUAGUAACCAUAGUUGUAAAUUAAGUAGAACUAGGAAAAUGGCAGCGAUGAUUCUGAUCCAGCACACAGAAUUAGAAAGGUGGAACUAUAAAUCGAAUAAAAACAUGCACAUGCGGAUCUGAGAAACAGACAGCAAUCAGCCUACUGAUACCAACCGUUGACCAAUGAGAUGAUGGAAAAUAGAAAGUUGGAAAAUGAUGAACCGACGACCGCGAAGCAGAAUCAAUGGGAGAUGAGGGGGAAGUGAAUUACUACAGAGGAGAUUGUUUUACCGUAGGUAGGGCGAGGUUUGUUGGGGGCGGACGGAGAUAGAGAGAAAAAAGUAUAAAAAAGCGAGAGCUGAGAAGACACUUGAUUUGAUGACUUGGUAUGUCAACGAAGUGAUUGAGAGACGAUGAUGACGACGACGCGGCUUUGCUGAGCUGACAGACGUUUUGGGGAGAUCAGCGCCUGCUGCUGGAAUGAAACUGUCGCCGGAUAAACUGUUUUGCAUUCAACACAUGUUUCUCGUUUCGUUUGGUUGGCAGCGAUUUUAUUUUUGUUUUUAAUUUUGACAAAAUACCUUAGAAUAUCACGAAUUUUGGAUAUAUGUUGAAAAUUGUCACGAUUUCGAUAUAAAUUUGCUGUCACGAAGUUUUAAGUUUCAUGCCAAAAAUAUAUUGCCGUUAAUUUGUGUUGUAUUGCAUGCCACGUGGCCUUGACGACCUUAAUUUCAUGUAGAUUUUAAAUGUUAUAAAGGUAAAUAGGUGGAUUUAAUGGACACCCUUCUUCAUAUUUAAAGGUCCUCCACAUCAGAACCCUACAUUACUUCUUCUAUUUUUUUUUCGCAGUCCGUCAUUUUUCUUCUUCUUUGAAUAUGUAGGUCCAUCUAUGGGGUCUUUAUUCUCCCAGAACGAAAGGAACAGCAGGAGGUCGGGUAACGUCACCAUCACAUCCAGUUCGGUGAAGUGUUCCCACGAUGUAGAAGCAGUCCUUAAGGUGGCCACCACUAAAAAGAAUAGAGGUCGACCAUUCUUUCGUUGCCCAUUUUGGUGGACCUCCAAUUGCGGAUUCUUCGUGUGGGAGUCCGAUUACCAUAGAUCUACAUAGGAAGAUCUAGUUGCAGGCAAAUGUUGGAGGAGACUUGAAGACCCAACGUCAAAUCUGCAGUUCGAGUUAUUGCUACAUGAGAUUAGGAGUGUUAGGAACAAGAUCGAAGGCUUUGACAACAGAAUCACGCUUGUCCUUGGUAGUAUGUGGGUUGUUGUAUUAUUGGUUGCCAUUUGUUGCACUGUUCGUUAAUCCAACUUGAAUGUAUUUUUUGGCAUUGUGUGGUUGUUUGGAGUAUUAUAAUGUCUAUGAAUUUUCUGUCUUCAUCAUGUUGUAACAUGGGAACCUUCCAACCUUGUAACAUGGAACAUUUACAAAUACUUCCCAUUUUGUAUACCACAGUUACCAAAACAAAAGUUUCUAACUAACAUCCAUCCUUGUCAUAGCACAUUAUACAAAAUAGAAACUUAAUAACAUUCAUCCUUGACUUAGCACAUUACACAAAAUAGGAACAUAAUAACAACCUUCCAACCUUGUACCAUGGAACAUUUACAAAUACUUCCCAUGUUGUAUACCGUAGUUACCAAAGCAAAAGCUACUAACUAACAUCCAUCCUUGUCAUAGCACAUUACACAAAAUAGAAACUUAACAUCAUCCAUCCUUGUCCUAGCACAUUACACAAAAUAGGAACUAACUAACAUCCAUCCUUGUCAUAUUACAUUACACAAAAUAGCUACUCAAUAACAUUCGUCCUAGUUAACAUUCACAUUACACAAAAUAGCUAUUGAAUAACAUCCAUAUCCUUCAUGCUUAACAUCCUUUAUGGGAAUGCAUGAACAUCCACAAACACAAAUGAUGAGCUACAAAAUACUGGUGAUCCCUCAUUGCUCUGAUUGUUGCGACUAUGGUGGUUGUGAGCCCUUUAGUUGCUAUUCUUCUUGGUUGUUGAGAGCUGUCCUCCUAAUCUGAAUCUUGGCUCCUAGAUUGUGUAAACCCUGCAACACAAACCAUGAAUGUGACCAAACCUACCAACAUGUGUAUAUCACCAUAUAAGUGUGGAAAAGUAUUUACCUGAGGACAAAGUGUCGGUAGGCAGCGGAGAGCAUUAUGGCCUUUAUUCCCGCAUUUGCUGCAUGUCACAAUCUGCUUAACAAGCCUACUUUUUCACUUCCUGUGACCUAUCCCUCAUUCUCCUUGCAGCUCUUGUCCCAUCACCUUGCCCCAUUCAUUGUUCCCUUUGGCCUUCACCUUCUUCAUUCACUUCUGCUCAAACUCUAAUAUCACAGUUACAAGCAUUAUGACCUCUGAUACCACAUCUAUCGCAGUGCAUACAUAUCUCUUUCCUUCCUAGCACUGUUCCUAUCCCGUUUUGGCUGGCCAAACUUCCAAUUCUUGAUCUUUCUUACAUCUAGUCUUCUUAGGUCUGUCUGGUAGAAUCCUUGUAGUUGGAGGGUGGAUCACAUAAUUAGUAGCCACUUCCCAAGCCUGUUUUCUAGGUAAUGCUGGUAUGCCACCAUAGCCAUAGGCCUUUCGAGCAUAAUGUGAAGUGAAGUGUUCUAUGGUGUAUGUGUACACAUCCUUGCGCAUGAAUAACAUACUGCUAUGGAAUGCAAACACGAGAUACCAGACACGUCCCAAUAUCCAUAAAUAAUUGUACGCUUUACAAGAUCGACAACAUAACUGAAAUCAUUCAGUUCACAUUCAGCUACCAAUUCCAAAAUCUGCCUUACCACACAAUGUAUAUCAAUUAGCUUUCCCUUCUCGAUUUGCCUGCUAUCCUAGGACAUAUGACCAUCUCCUUAGUGUUUUGUAACACCUUGACCUUGUCCACUAGAUGUUUCAUCAUGUACAUACAGAUUCCCUCUUUCAUAUUAAUGAUUUUAAGCCCUCUCCAUUUCACUAUACAACCAUUGACUAUUUCACAAAUGUUGCUCUCAAUAGAAUCACUCUUAGGGACUCUAGACACAAAAGCACAUGAAAAGGUUCUAGGGUUUACACUCACAAAGUUAGUAUGGCAUAUGGGAUCUUCACCUGAGUCUUGUAGACGCUUUAGAGUGGCCAGGUGAAUGUUGAAUUCGACUUCAUUGCACAAAUACACACAAUUUCAGAAAGCUUCUCUACUGGCUCAAGACUUAUGUUUGAUAAUCUGUACCUGAAGCUGAAGAUCAAACUGUCAUCCAAUCCAUCACACUUGAUCUGUUCGAUGUCCAAGCUCAACAACCAACUCAUCCAUGGACAAACUUUGAUGGUGCUUCUGAUUUUGUCCCUAGUCCGAGUCCGGAUGACCUUGUCGAUUACUUUUGAGUUCUUUACUAUCAUUGUGUUGGUACAAUUUUUGGAUGUAGCUGCGUAUGCAUUCUUUUUCUUAGACUUUCUCACUCAGUUCUACCAGAAUUUAUAUUUGAACUCGUCUUGUCUUGGAGGUUAUCGAUUUUGUUUCUUUAGCAGGAACCUUCUUUACAUCUCAAUAGAACUUGAAGAGAUCCGUUCACAGACUUAGGUGUGGGGUGGGGGGAGAGAAUGUUGUAAUGCCACAGUGUAAAUCUGGUUUCGGUAAUUGAAGUAAGUAUUUUAUUUAAUUGAUUAUUAAUAUUUUAUUUUAUUUUAUUUGAUACAGAGAGAGAUCUAUCUCUCACAAAAGGAAAGAAAAGAGCACAAAAUUAAAAUUUACCUUACAAGAGUUGUUGACCGUUGCAAAACUCUCCUAUAAAUUGAUAAGCUUCUUAGUGUGUUGAGUUUAUCGAUUGAAAGAGUUAAAGUACUGAGUGAAGGAGCAAUUUAGCUUACGGGGAAUUGUGAGUUUGAGUUGUUGUGUUCGAAAGUAGAGGCAAUCUAGCGGGGAGCUUGGAUUAGUGUAUUGCGGGGAGUAAUAAAUUCAUCUACCAUUUAUAUCCUUUGUUUUUAGUAUUUAGUGAAACAUCUUAGUAAGGAUUGACACCGAACUAUAAAUUUAAUAGGUGGAACCACGUUAAAAUGUACGUGUAUCCUUUAUCGCUUUUCAAUCCUUAUUUCCUCAUCAUCAUUACAGUUCGAAUCAGUAACCGGCAAACUAACAAGCUUAUAAUCAAUUUACAUCAACUUAAUAGGCUUACGUUAAAGCCCACCUUCUUUCUUUGCUUAGUAAAAACGCAAACUCAUCUGUUUUCUUCUUCUUUACGUAUUUUGUAAGAUUUCAAUCAGAUCAUCUGAUCUGAUUCUGUGUCAAGCAAUCAGAAAAUCAGAGGGUUCAAUUUCAUCAAAGGGUGGAUGUCUACGUACGGGUUGAUGCCUUGGGAGGCGGGUCACGGGAUAAACCGAUGGUUCAAGAGCUUCUCGUCGAUGCUCUGGGGUGGGGGCGUGGGGCGUGGGGAGAAAGGAAUGUUGGGACUGAGUGCGACCCGUUGUAAGUAUAGAGGAGAGAAGUUGAUAGUUCAGAAUUUAGGGUGUGAGGCGUGAAGUUGAGAGAUUUGAGAUACAAAAGGACGGCUUGUAGGGAGAAAUCAAGGCACAAGAAUGUCAGGGAGAAGGUGGAACGAAGCACAGAAGAGGAAGGUACUUUGGGUGGGGAGAGUUUGAUAGGCAGGGGAGAGGCCUCAAUAGAUUUGAUGGGAGGGGGUUUGCUGAGAAGGAUCUAAGAUCUUAUUUAAUUUAUGUGGAAGACAUGCGGUGAUGGUGAUUCUAGAAUCUGUUGCUGAUGGUUUUCCUUAGUGUUUAGUGAAUUUUUAUGGUCCUUGCGAUAGAACCUUAAAGGCUGGGUUUAUUGAAGAGUUUAAAGGAAUCAUUUAAUGGUGGCAAUUACUUUUGGUCUUGUUAUGGGAUUUCAACAUGGUGAGGUAUUUGGAGGAGAUAUUAGGUGAGGGAUAGAAGUAGCAGUGAGAUGGAGAUGUUCAAUGAUUUCUUUACGAAAAUGGAGCUAGUGGAUCUGCCUUUGACUGGUGGAAACUUCACGUGGACUAACUUCCAACAAUAGCCCACCUUGUCUAGGUUAGAUAGAGUGACUAUUUCUUCAGCUUGGGAAGAAAUAUUUUCGGAUUGCAAGGUGAAGGUACUUCCGAGGGUUUAGUCCAAAUAUAACCCUUUGAUGCUUUCAGCAGGCCACAUGCCCUCUCUCAAACGGCCAUGACAGUUUGAGAUGAUGUUAAUGGAGCAUAAUGCUUUUAAUUUUUUUUGUCAAGUGGUAUGGAGCGAGGAGGUAGGGGGUUUCGGUGGUCUGUUUGUGUUGGCUAAGCGGAUGAGAUUGUUGAAGGAGAAGUUGAAGGAAUGGAAGAAAGUUGUUUCUAAAUGUAAUGAGGUUGAAAGUGAAAGAUGCUUGGAGGUGAUUGUUGGGGUUUGGAUAGACAGGAGGAGAGAAAGUGAUAAGAGGCCAUAGAUGCAUGCUGGAACUUGAAUUGGAUAAGUACUGGAAGAGAAAAGAAAUUAAUUGGAGGUAGAAGGCAAGAGAAACCAAUGUGAAACUUGGGGACCGCAACACAAUAUUUUUUUACAAGAUCGCGAACCAAAACAAGAGACGGAGCUUUGUGGAGAGUAUUAUAGUAGACAUGCUUGUAUAUGAGCGGUAGUUGGAGGUGGCGCAAGUGGUGGUGAGUUUCUAUACUAUACUAUAUACGGAGGAGAUUCGGGUACGACUUUUUCCGGGCGGAGUUCAUUGGGGAAAUAUUAGUGGAGAGGAAGGAUAAGUUUUUAUUAUGCCGUUCGCGGAGGACAAGGUGCGAAGGGCGGUAAUGAGUGUUGCGGGAAACAAGACUCCCGACCCGGAUGGUUUAAAUUUGGACUUCUAUAAACAAAAUUGGGAUUUGGUUAAGGAGCAAGUGAUGAGCGCAAUGAGGGAUUUUCAUUCUCGUGGGCUUCUUCCGGAUAUGAUGAGCUCUACCUUUGUUUCUCUAAUCACUAAGGAGUCGGUUGAAAAUGUGAAAGAUUUUUGGCCUAUCAGUUUAACGGGUAGUGUGUACAAUAUCAUUUCAAAAAUUCUUAUGGAGCGGCUCAGAGGUGUUAUGCCUAUCAUUUCGUAACAUUAAUGUGCCUUUGUUCAUGGUCGCCAAAUGCUUGAUGCCUCCUUAAUUUCCAAUGAGUUGAUUGAUUCAAGGAAGCGAAGUGGGAGACCGGGGUUGAUUAUUAAGUUAGAUAUUGAAAAGGCUUACGACCAUGUGAACUGACAUUUCCUUUUUGAAAAUUUUUAUAGGAUGGGGUUUCCGAGAAAGUGGAUUGAUUGGAUGAAGGGGUGUAUCACUUUUCUUAGGUUCUCAGUCCUAGUUAAUGAGGAAGCUUUCGGGUAUUUUAAGAGUUUGAGAGGAUUGCGUGAAGGGGACUCGUUAUCUCCUUUCUAUUUAUUUUGGUGAUGGAUGUGUUGACUGCUAUCUUCGGAGUUUUGAGAGAUAACAACAUCAUUGAGGGCUUUUUUACAUGAAUGAGAUGGACAGAGAAGGGGAGGUGACACAUUUUCUAUAUGUUGAUGAUACAAUUAUAUUUUGUAGAGCUUCCAAGAGUCAGGGCAGAGGGUAGCUUGCGGCUUUGAUUGUAUUUCAGUCAAUCACUAGGCUGAAAGUUAACCUGGAUAAGUGUAGUAUCUCUCCGGUGGGGCAAGUCAAGAAUUCCCAAGCGAUGACAGAUGUUUUGGGAUACGUGAAGCAUGACUUCCCAAGCACGUAUCUUGGCCUGCCUUUGGGUCCCAUGGCGAUUAGUGAUUUAAUUUGGGGUCCAAUGGUGACGAUAGUGCGUAAGAGGCUUGAAACAUGGAAGGCAAGACAUCUGUCUUUUGGUGGGCGACUCACUUUGAUCAAAAGUGUGUUGUCUAGCCUUCCAAUUUACUACCUUUCUUUGAUUCGGGCAUCUAUCUUGGUCAUCACGGUCAUCGAGAAGAUCCAGAGUGACUUCCAUUGGACGGGCAUCUCUGAGACUAGAAGUAUCACAUGUUUAGUUGGGAUAGGGUGAAGAUUCCUAAGGACUAGGGAGGGUUCAGAAUUAUGGAUUUGAGGAGUAUGAACAAAGCUUUACACGGUAAGUUUUUAUGGAGGUAAGAGGUGGAAAGAGGUGUGUGGUGGAGAACGGUCAUCGAGGUUUAAGUUUGGUUUGGACAAAGGUUCGGAGUGGCAGUCAGCCUGUGAAUUUAGUUCGUCUGGGUGGUCUGUCUGGUUCAGGAUUAGGAAGGAGAGCGUUGAGUUCUGGGAGUUUGCUUUCGUCGAUCUUGGGGAGGGGAGUGGGUUAGGUUUUGGCAUGAUAUUUGGAUGCCUGGGAAACACUUGAUGAGAGACUUUUCGCGGUUGCGGCCGUUGCGCAAACCCCAUAUGCUUUUAUUACUAACAUGGUUGUGGUGAAUGACAGGUACGAAUGGAAAAUUGAGCUCAAUGGUGUUUUGAGAGGGGGGCACUCUUGGGGAACUUUAUAGGCUGCAUGACCUUUUGCGCCACUUACCGUCGGAUGCCCUCUCGGUCGGCCCGCCUCGGUUCAGAUGGAGUUAGAUCGAUGAGGUGUUCGGUCAAAUCCUUUAAGUCUGAAAUUCCGUGUACCAAGUGUUUGGGAUGUGCUGAUUUUCCAUAUGAUGUUAUUUGGUUGUCGCCAGUUCCAACGAGGUUACCUGUUUUGUGUGGUCGGCGUGCUUAAAUUCCAUAGCAACCAUGGACAAUUUGAGAAGGAGGGGAGUCAUUGCUUCUAAUAGGUGUGUAAUGUGCUGUCAAGGGGAGGAAUCUGUUAGUCACUUGUUGAUGCAUUGUCAGUUUGCAUGCUCGGUGUGGAGCUGGCUCUUACUAGCAAUGGGGAGGAUUGGUCCAUUUUCUGGUGAGGUUUGAGGGCUGCUGGAUGAAUGGAAUGAAUCGAAAAGGUUUCCCCGAUUUGGGAGAUUUAGGAAGGUGGUUCAUUAAGCGGUUAUGUGGUAUUUGAAAGACUAUUCGGCGUGGUUGAAUGUGAUUUUUCACCCGCAAUGAUUUGGGUUUCGGGUUUUGAGAUGUUCGAUGCAGUUUCGAUCUUUGCCUUUUUAUUUUGCUGUUUGCAGGUGGUAGUAAGGUCUGGUUUUGUUUCACUGGUCUUUUAUUGUUUUUAUGGUUUCCAUUAUGGCCUUGCAGGGAUGCAAUUCGAGACCUCUUCGUCUCAUCACGUUUCCUCUCUUUUGUUUUGGGAGCAGAUGUGGCAGCUGCUUUCCUUUGGUUUGUACCCCUCUUUUGUGCUUCGAAACAGAGUUUUGGGUGUUUUUGGUCUUGUGGUGGGUUGUGGUCUCGGUUUUUGCUUUUGUUUGGCUUUCUUUGCUUGCCUAGAUUACCUUAACUUUUGCGUUAUUUUCUGUUAUUUUGUUUAUGUUCUUGUAGCUGAGUUUUGUUCUACUAGUUGUAGGACAUGGUUGUUAAAAAUAUAUAACGCAAGAAGGCCCAUUAUUAUUUAUUAAGGGAUUUUUUAUAGUUGGAUUUUAAUUAUUAUUAGGCAAAGGAUCAAACAUUAACAAUUCAGACAUGAGGCUUUGAGGGUCAUUGCUCACAUCUAAAAUUAUAAUAACGUGAUAUUUGGAAGCCUUUUCAUAUAUUCAAUUCAAGAAGUCCCUCCACUAUUCAUUAGUUGGAAAAUUUACAUGUUCCCCUCUUAUAAUUCCAUAUUCAUUAGUUAUGAAGGGUUUUGUUUUACUCUUUAUUUUGUGGUGCCAACAUACCUUUGGGAUUUUUUUAAAGUUCAUUUCUAAGGGUAUUCAAUUAAUUUCUAAUGUUAAUAUUUUUAAUUUUGGAGGUUAUUAUUCGAUGUUUAAGAGUUUUUCAAAAAUCUUUCUAACAAUUAUAAAUGGCUUAAUUUUCUAUUAUUAAACACAUAAACUCGAAAUUUAAAUUUUUCUUUUUUUCCAAAUGAAUCACCGACGAUCAUCUACCAAUCCAACCAUCGUCGUCCGAUUAUCAUCGGUCGCCGGCUAACAUUGAUGGUCAGUUUUUAAAAAAAAACAAUAUCCCAUACACCGUUGGGUAGAUGACCAGGCUGUUUAUGCGGGGAUGAUCUCGUGCUGGUUUUGUUUGGUAUUUACUAUAUGUCGUUCAGUUAGUGGUUUUUUUUAGUACUGCAAUUGGUCAUUGUCUUCAACAAAAAUUUCCAAGGUUUCUAAUGGAAAAACUCUACAUGAUUAAACAUAUAUGUAUAACAACAAUUUUUGCAGUAACUCAAAAUUCAUGUAUUUUCUACUAUUUUGUAAUAUCACAUAGUUCCAAGGAAGUGGAUUAAUGUACUUUAUAUAACCUAAUUUUAUUAGUGAGAAAUUGAACUAAAUAUAUAAUCUAACUUACAUUACCUACUUUAUAUACAUCACUAUAUAUAUACAGGUGAACAAACAUAUCGACAUACUAACUAAUUAAUAAGCGACACCAUUUUUAAUAAAAUACAUAUUUACUAUUUUACUAAAAUAACUCGAAUUAUAUUAAUUAUCAAUGGUGAUUACAAGAUUCUUUCAUUUUUCAGAAAAUUUAUUAGUUUUGCAAUAGUGUUUUCAAAAAUUUCUGUCUUCGUUGAUUCACAUUUCAUAAUACUUUUAUUGUAUUGAUAACUAAUAUAAAAAGAGUUAUUUUAGUAAAAUAUUAAAUAAAUAUUUUAUUACGAACAUAUUAAUCCAUUUAUAUAAACGACAUAAAAUAAAAUAUAUACCUAAAGAAAGAUGAUGGAAGAGGAAAAAGGCAUUGUAAUGGGAAUAGUGUUGAAACAUACAAAAUGAAAAAGGAGAUUGAGGAGUUGAUUAAUCAUGAUUGAGGAGUUGGCUAAUGUAUGAAAAGCUUAAAUUUGGGAGAAUCAUCUUUGUGGGAAGGGGGUGGAUGAAAUUGAAAGCCAAGAUUGUGGUAUGUGGUGGUGGAGUACAGUAGCCGAUGGAAGCUGCAUUGUCAAGCAAAGCAAUCCACAAAUAUUUUCUUCACCCAAAAGUCCCUCUUCCUCACUCACCAUUCAAACUUGCCAUUGCUCUUCCCCACCACUAACUAUUCUCUCAAACCCAAAUCUGAAACACAACAAAACUCAAUGGCAAACCAUAUCAUGAAUUAGUAUUUGGCAACUCAUGUUUCUAUAUCCUCUCAUUAUUCGCUAAUUCAUGGCUUAUAUACUUAUUAAUAACCUAGUAUUUUACCCGGUUUGGCCGGAUACAUAUGAUUUAUAUUUUUUUUUAAAUAUGAUUAUGAGGUUUAAUUUUAAUAAACCAAGGGAAUAUAAGUGUUUAUAAUCAAUCACCUAAUUUAAUGUUACAAUAUAUACAAUAAAGUAUUUUAAUUUACUUAGUUUUAGUGGGACAAUACCUGAUUAUAGUAAAAGUUAAUGUCUCACUUUGGAUUUUUCAAAUAUUUAUAAUAUAUGAUAAAAUAUUAUAGGUGAAUUCUUCGGUAUACCUGGUAUACUGAAAGUUUUGGUAUGCCUAGUUUUUUUGUAAAUAACGUAGACCAUCAUAAACGUCCAUUUUAAAUAAUCGAUCUUGACGGUUAAUAAAUAUAAUUUUAAAAAUUAAUCACACAUAUAGUUUUAUGGUCUUGAUCUUAAAAUACUUUUACAAACUCAUAUUUUAAUGUUUCGGUAUUUCGUAUUGAUUUGAGUGUUUAUUUUAUCAUUAAAGUACAUACGGUAACGGUUUGACAAACGUCUAGUUUCGCCAUGAACUCUUCUUUAUCAAACAAAAAUUCAAACCUUGCAGCGACGCGACAGCGUUGGCUAAUCAAACCCCAUCACCGGCGACACUGCUAUUAUUCAAACUCUUCUUUAUUUUUGUCAGCUAAAUAUAUAAAUGUAUAAGGUGUUUUCGCCGUCUAUAGACCGGAGCAAAGCCAUACCUUCUUCCUCAUGGCCCUGACACACCACUACGAUGUCGCGGACGUAGUUCGAUACCAGGUGACCAGACCGGGCUGGGAACAUUAAACUGGCGAGCCCUGAUUCAAUAAGGGGAAGGCCACUAACAAGACCCUCCGCUUUGACUCCAUUACGGUCGAUGAUGUAUACAUAUCGUAGCCUUGGUAUCUACCUAGGUUGCUUUCUUGAACCUUGUUUCUUCUUCCGGGUGAAAUUUUGUUGAUUAAUUAGCUCGUGUAUUCUGCUUAGCAAUUGAACAACAGCCUAGAAAGGGAUCCUGAGCGUAAUUGAACAACGGCCUAGUUAGUGUAUUCUAAUUAGUUACCCUGCUUUAAUUACAAUACGAACCAUCAUUUUUUCUAAAUGAUCCAAUGCAUUCAAAUACUCUACAAUUUAACUGGAGUUUCUUUCAACUAGUGAUGUUACAACUGCUAGCUGCAUCUUAUAUUUGGCUUUUUUCUAGUGCUAGAAUUAUUGCUUUCUGAAAAUUCAUUCCCAUCCGACGAUAUGAUGUCCGCCGAAGAUUUUGAAGGCCAUGUUUGAUUUUUGUGCAUACUGUGUUAAGGAUUAAGAGAUCAUUUGCAGAAAUGGAUCAUGUUAUUAUUCCAGUGUUCUUGCACAGUUUUGUUUGUUUGUCUUAUUUCUCUGCAUUCAAUGAAUAUUUGCAACCAAGUUGCAAAGUACCUGGUUGAUAUUCUGAUUUGUUGUCUUUGAUGAUUCUAUACAGUGUAAUAAUGGGAGGAAGACGAUGGAAGAAUUUAUGGCAUUUUUUUUUAUAAAGAAGAGUUUAUGGUGAUUUAAAUUAGUGUUUGAUUCAAGCUGUUAACAUAUAUACUUAUACAAAUAAACACUCAUUGGUUGAUGCGAAAUUCUGAAACACUAGAAUGACGAAUUUGUAAGAGUAUUUUAAGUACAAGACCAUAAACGAUAUAUGUAAUUAAGUUUUAAAAUUAUAUUUAUUAUCAACCGUCAAGAUCGAUCAUUUAAAAUGAACGUUCAUGAUGAUUUACGCUACCCAUAAAAAACUAGCACACCAAAACUUUCAGUAUACCAAGUAUAUUGAAGAAUUUUCACCAUUAUUAUAUAUAAAUUUUGAUAAACUUUAUUUCAUGCGCUUGUUAUUGCUAACAUAAUGUAUCUUUAUUGUUCGUAAAUGGAUAUCGAUGGGUUAUAAUUUUCGAUAAGGCAUUCUUAUCAUUACAAAUAGAAAUAGUAAGUUUAUGAAAAUAUUGAACCUUUAUCCGAUAAGUAUCUAGUAUCAUAAUAUCAAGUGUUCAAUUAUUUAGCACUCAUACUCGAUAAGCAUAUAUAUGUUAAAAGUUAGAUGAAAAAAUUUAUGAAAAUAAUAUAUAACACGUAGACCCGAUAAGCAUAUAUAUGUAACAUAUAGAUUUGAUAAACAUAUAUAUAUGUGACGCAUAUACCCGAAUAUAUAUAUGUAGAAAUAAAGAAUUUUAAUUUACAACCAAUCGGUUGGUUACCGUGGAGCGGUAAUAAUAUUACAUUACCUUUUUCCUAUUUUAUAAUCAGUUGGUUGGAGUGGAGCGGUAAUUUCGCGUUGAAGACUUUGUAUUACGGUGAGUAUAGGAAUACGGGUCCUAGAGCCCCGAUCGGUGGGCGAGUGAAAUGGGCCGGGUAUUUUAACAUUAUUUUUUCCUAUUAUUGUAAAAUAAUCAGGUUAUUAAAAUAAAAGGAAUAUUAAAAUAAAAUUUGAUUGGUUAGAAUUUUAAAAAUAUAAAUUAAAAAUUUAUAUAGCAGGAAAAAUCUAAAAUAUAAAAUACAUAUGGUAGAUAUAUAGGAAAUGAGAUAGAACUUAUACUUGAACUCCAAUCGUAAUUAACUCCAGAAAACCACAGCUGAAAAUCUCCUUCAAAAUCCACCUAUAAAAAACGAGUACAAUUUUGCGGCUAGGGACAUUGUUUAAUUUUUAUCUUUAAAUUUUCAUCUGAUUUAAGAGUUAAAAGUAAUUAGAAGCAAUAUAGUUUUGUUUUUUUUAAUAUUUUAAUUGGAUCAGAAUUCUAUCAUUUUUUUUAUUACCGGAUCAUUCCCGUUAGGAUUGGGAAUUUCGGUUCUGGGUAUACGAUCGAACUUGUAAUCUGAUCGGUCAAACCCAGGUCCGGACCGGAUCCCAGGCCUAUCUUACGUCACCAAAAAGUUUCCCGAUCGAUUUCCUAUAGAUUCCAACCACCGUCGACGAAAUAAUUUACAUUUACGUGAUUAUCGUCUUCGACUCCAUGUUUAUAAAAGAAAAAAUAAUUUUCUAAAAAUAUUUUCUAACAAUCAUUUUUACUAUUUUAUAUGAAUCAUAUAAAUAUGUAUUGGUUUGUACAAACUCAUACAAAAAUAUACACACAUUUAUAACUUUUGUACAAAGUAUAAUACUACGUUUUUCUCCUACAAAAAAGUAUAAAUACUAAUUAGUCUAAUACAUAACAUAUAUGUGAAACGUGAAUUUUGGCCCAUGUUUACAACUAUUAGAUGUAGAGCACAAAUUUUAGACUGUCAAAUUGAAGUUUCAUUUGUCCAACUCCAAAUUCGAUAUCUAUCAGCAGUAAGCUUUAUAUUGGUGGGAAAAAUGAAAUUUUUAAUCAUCGCCCAAGAAGAACAUUACAUAGCUAUCAUCAUCAUCAUCAUCUCCUUGUUAUUCGUCAGUUUUUCAUUCUUGACUUUAUUCUCCGUAGCUCGUCAUUGUCACCUACUCUUUUAUCCCACACUUCAACAGAAAACCAAAGCAAACCCAAAAGCUCUUCCACACGAUACACCAAAAGUCUUCUUCUUCUUCUUCCCCCUUCCCUCCCCUGCACCUACCAACCAAACCACUCUUUACUUCUCCUUCCAAUAAUUCAUGGAUCCUUACAACCCGACCCGAAUGUACGACGGCGUCCUCGAAAUCUACGUCCACCACGCCACAAACAUCCACAACAUCUGCAUCUACGACAACCAAGACGUGUACGCCAAAUUCUCGCUGACCUACAACCCGGACGACGCCGUAUCCACCCGGAUCGUCAACGGCGGCGGGAGGAACCCGGAAUUCAACGAGAAGAUCGCCGUCAAAGUCUCCCAAGUCCUCGACGCUGUCGUUAAAUGCGAGAUCUGGAUGUUCAGCAGGGCUAGAAACUUGAUGGAGGAUCAGCUCCUCGGAUUCGCUCUCGUCCCUGUUUCUCAGGUGAUCGGGAAAGGGGAAGUCUCGCGAGAUUAUACACUCUCCUCCACCGAUCUCUUCCAUUCCCCUGCCGGAACCGUCAAAUUGACCCUCUGUUUAACGCCGUUAACGUUAUCUCUUCCUUCCUCCGCCACCGUUAAUUCCUCGAUUUCGUCCGAGGUAGUUCUGCUCGAUCAUAGGAAGAUGGACCCCGUGGAGUAUUCUAGAAUCGAAUUUCCCGAUUUCAACGUCGCGCACCAGAAUCAGCAAAUGGUUUCCGAGUAUUUCGAUCGGAAACUCGGUUCCUUCCUCCAUUUAGGAAAUCUUCCUCCUCUCCCCACCGAUUGCGGAGGUGGUUCGGUUUCUCCCGGCGGAAGCUUCAGGACAUCAUCCGGGUUCAUUAGCUCCUCCACUACUACAAGCUUCACCGACGAGAAGAAGAGCUGGCGAUCGUCACCCUCCGCCACCUCCCUGAACGUCUCUGUUUCCGGCGAAGGAAAUCAGAGCUUGUCGUCUUCCUCCGGCGGGUGUCCGGACACUCCGACGUCAAGGAAAGGGAGCGUAAUCAGAGACGAGAAAGACGGGAGGAAAGAAGAGGGAAACGGGAACAAGUUGAUCGACGGCGGGAAGUACGGCGAAAUCUUCGCGGCGGGGACUCUACCGCCGGGGAUUCCCGAGCAGGAUUCUGAGGGGGGGGGGGUGGGCGAGCCGAAGGCGAGAGGGGUAUGCAGCAGCAGAUAGUGGAUAUGUACAUGAGGAGUAUGCAGCAGUUUACUGAGUCGCUUGCUAAAAUGAAGCUUCCGAUGGAUUUUGACAAACCCGGAGGAGGAGGAGAUUUGAUUCAAGCAAUUCAUGGGAAUAGUGGUAAUGAUCAUAAGCAGGAGGAUGAAAUUGAUGAGCACCAACAACAGCAGCAGAAGAAGAAAAAGGAUGGAUCAAGGGUGUUUUAUGGGAGCCGAGCCUUCUUCUAGACCAGUUAUUGAUUUACGUCACCAUUCAUAACUGUAGAUUAACUCUGGUUUAUUUCUUCUUUGAUGGAAUUGGUAUGAAUUUAAUUGUAUCAUUCUCCUUAUUUUCUUUCCUGAGGAAUUGUCGUGCCUAUGAAAUGAAAUGAGGCGAGAACCCUUGCAUUUGUGUUCCUUGAUUCUGCCAAUGUUCUUUCUUAUUGUCCUUUUUUUUCUUUUCACUCAGGAACCUGUAUGCUUGCACAGCAUAGGAAGGAUUAAUAUUAUUGAUCUCAAUUAGGUAUUAUAUCAUAUAACAAAAUUUGAUCUAUUCGAAAAAUUCGGGGUUUAUCCAUCCACGUAAUAGGAGAAUUUUAAUGUGUUGUAUUGUGUGCCAUAAUAUGCACGGCGUGGUUGAUAUAUCGCCUACAAAACUACCAGUUUCCAACAUCAAACUUCUCGAGAAGACUGCGAAUAUUGCGAUAUAAAAUACCCAACUUAGCGUCAUUAUCUUCAGGCGGUGAAGACCAUCAAGAUCAUACUAUCACUCUCAACAAGCACUUUAUGUUUCCAAACAAGCUGAAGACCAAAUUCCACAGCAGAGGCCUCUGCCAAUUCCGGAGUCCAGCAACCUUCUCCUCUUUGCACUGCAGCAACCACAAAGAGACCGUCCUUGUCACGAAUUACAACGCCAAAUCCCACGUCGGUAUCCCCAAAAAUUGCAGCAUUAGUGUUGAUUUUCAAAAAACUAGAAAGCGGGCGUGACCGCUUAGGAAUAACAUCACUGGAAGUCGGGGCUGAAACAUUACUCUAAUUAUAUUGGUAGCUUUGAAAUUCCACCUUAGGAGUCCCAAGUGAACCACUGGUUCAAUCAAAGAGUCCUACUCGGAUUUCAACCUGAGACAUACUCAAUACUCCACUACUAAUAAAUGCGUAAAAAUAAACAGUAAAACCAAACCGAAAUACUUAAAUAAAUUGACUAACUAGGAUCCCGGAUCCAAAACAUAACAAGUCAAAGGAGAUACAACUUCAGUUAUGAAAAUAAUAAAAACUAUAGCAUCUGAUAUCAAAACCUCGACCAGCUCUCUCCCCACCAUCAGCUCCAGUACAUGUGACUGAACAUACACAAAUACACCAAGGAAACAAAAUCUACCGAGGUCAGUGAUAAGCACUGCAUGACUGACUAGUCCUGAUAGAACUGAAACAUAAACUAAGAUUUUACUGAGCCUUUACUUAGACUUUAUUAAGCUUGAACUGAAGAUAGAACAAGAAAUCUAUCUAAACACUACAUCUAGUAAUGUGGCCAUGUGGUCCUGUAGGCGUCAACCUAUCAUCAGCCACCCCUAGAUGUGAGCAAACAGCCUCAUAGUGGAUCAGACCAUGAAACUACCCUGAAUACCGUGAUAGCAGCAACUGAAGGCAUACUCUUCACCUCCUGCUUGAGCCUGAUUAUAACCUUGGGGAUUGCGCAAUCCAUGGGUGGGUGACCAACACAUAACGAAAGCUAGUCUAGCUAAUCCAGAAUCAUGCCCUAAGCAUGACCUGUGGAACACUCGCCACAGUCCAAUCGCCAAGAGCCUAUGCUCCAAAAAUAUAUAACUAUCUGUACAAUAAAUCACACGGUCAUGUAUAACCUGAGAUCCAUGCCUUGAAAUACAACACAUGUAUAGUAGAUCACACGCUACUAUACAGUCCUGAGAGUCCAAUCAUUGGAUUCCUAACCGCCUAAUUACAGUUCUACGCUUAAAGCAGAAAAGUAAUCCUAUAACCCUCAACUGGUAUGAAGAGCUGACACCUCUGAUUCUGAGUUGACAUGAUUCCUCUCGCUGCCACGAGUUUGUAGCUUAUGACCGUGCGUCAUUUGGAGAUCAAACGAUCAAGUUAUGCUCCAUUUACUUCUUGGCAACAUCUUGAAACUUGCUAGAACAGAUACGUUGCGCUAGUCCUCCAACUGCCUCCGUUACACUAACUGAACCGAAACUUCUAGACGUUGAAAAAUCUGACCUGGGUCCUUAACUGUGAACCGUUCAUAAGUUUAGAACUACGGAAGCAAGAUUUAAGAAUAACUAAAUUCCAGAUUAGUCACUUAACUUUCAAACUUUGUAAACAGAUCCCUCUUCUUUUCUGGCGGACUGCGGUCGCCACAGACGAGCUCCGCCCAGUUCUAGGCGAGCUCCCAUCUUAUUCAAAAAUGACAGACAAAUUCAACGAUUUAAGCAAAACAAGAGAGAUUCAAUUUACCACAGUAUUGGUACUCUUGGCCCCGAUGGCUGAGUUUAUCAUGGCGGUAAUGGAGGGUUGAUGGUUUGGUGCGGCGGUGGAGUUGAUGUUUCGGCGUCGGCAACUCAGUGGAUGACGGUUUGGUGAUGGUGUUCAUGGGUGUUUGAUGGUAACGAUGGAUGCUUGAGUGGUAGCGGCAAUGUUGGCGAUGUACAGGAUGCCGAGAUGUCCUAAAAUAGGGAGAAAAAGCCCUAGGGUUGGGAGAGGCUAAUGCCAUAUUUUAAUUAGAAAGGAAAUUAAAUUUAGUGUCUUUCAAACUGUAUGGCCGCGAAUUUAAAUUGUGUUUUUCAAAUAUUAUGGCAACCUUUUGUGAUUUUUUUUAUAUGAGGAAAGUAUUCGCAAUUCCCUCUCGUUAAACACUCCCCUAAUUAUUUGGGUUAGUAAUUUUAAACAUUCUGUAUAUUGAAAGUAAAUAAUCAUUAGCAAUAAUAUACUUUCCUUAUUAAUUCCCUAUUUUAAAAUUGAUUAAAUUGUACUCCAUAAAUGUAAAUUAAGGUCAGAUUAGUAACUGCUUUACUACACACGUUUUUACCAACAAAAAAAAAA